This 497-nucleotide ribosomal RNA is filed under the name uncultured bacterium. Its description in RNAcentral is "partial 16S ribosomal RNA". It matches the Rfam family "Bacterial small subunit ribosomal RNA", at positions 28 to 507 of the family's 1533-position model. The record is from RNAcentral.
GACGAACGCUGGCGGCGUGCCUAAUACAUGCAAGUAGAACGCUGAAGAGAGGAGCUUGCUCUUCUUGGAUGAGUUGCGAACGGGUGAGUAAUGCGUAGGUAACCUGCCUUGUAGCGGGGGAUAACUAUUGGAAACGAUAGCUAAUACCGCAUAACAAUGGAUGACACAUGUCAUUUAUUUGAAAGGGGCAAUUGCUCCACUACAAGAUGGACCUGCGUUGUAUUAGCUAGUAGGUGAGGUAACGGCUCACCUAGGCGACGAUACAUAGCCGACCUGAGAGGGUGAUCGGCCACACUGGGACUGAGACACGGCCCAGACUCCUACGGGAGGCAGCAGUAGGGAAUCUUCGGCAAUGGGGGCAACCCUGACCGAGCAACGCCGCGUGAGUGAAGAAGGUUUUCGGAUCGUAAAGCUCUGUUGUAAGUCAAGAACGAGUGUGAGAGUGGAAAGUUCACACUGUGACGGUAGCUUACCAGAAAGAGACGGCUAACUACGUG